RNAcentral lists this microRNA (22 nucleotides) under Hydra vulgaris (swiftwater hydra). RNAcentral describes it as "hma-miR-3005". The record is from miRBase by way of RNAcentral. Lineage: Eukaryota; Metazoa; Cnidaria; Hydrozoa; Anthoathecata; Hydridae.
UUGGUGGAUGAUUGAUUCCUAA